GCCGGCCUGAGAGGGCGACCGGCCACACUGGGACUGAGACACGGCCCAGACUCCUACGGGAGGCAGCAGUGGGGAAUAUUGGGCAAUGGAGGAAACCCUGACCCAGCGACGCCGCGUGCGGGAUGAAGGCCUUCGGGUUGUAAACCGCUUUCAGUAGGGAAGAAGCGAAAGUGACGGUACCUACAAAAGAAGCACCGGCUAACUAUGUGCCAGCAGCCGCGGUAAUACAUAGGGUGCAAGCGUUGUCCGGAAUUAUUGGGCGUAAAGAGCUCGUAGGUCGUUUGUUACGUCGGAUGUGAAAACCUGAGGCUCAACCUCAGGCCUGCAUUCGAUACGGGCAAACUAGAGUUUGGUAGGGGA
RNAcentral lists this ribosomal RNA (360 nucleotides) under uncultured Actinomycetes bacterium. RNAcentral's name for it is "bacterial SSU rRNA". It matches the Rfam family "Bacterial small subunit ribosomal RNA", at positions 286 to 658 of the family's 1533-position model. Lineage: Bacteria; Bacillati; Actinomycetota; Actinomycetes. The record is from RNAcentral.